Molecule: ribosomal RNA, 801 nt
Filed under: Ptyas luzonensis
Lineage: Eukaryota; Metazoa; Chordata; Lepidosauria; Squamata; Colubridae
Description: partial 16S ribosomal RNA
Rfam family: Bacterial large subunit ribosomal RNA
Source: RNAcentral
UUUUUUUUUCCAGGGCCCCCAACCCAAGKAGKCAUUAUAGUUUUAAUGUUAGUUUAAGUUUCACAGGUCUUCUGUCYUGGKGAAAAUUCAAGUUUUUUAGUAGAGAUCAGUUUAAUUAUUUAUUAUAAGAGACAGCUAGCCCUCAUUUGCCUUUCAUACAGGUCUAUAAUUAGUAGCCAAAUGAUUAUGCUACCUUGCACGGUUAGGGUAACCGCGGCCGUUAAAUUUUCACUGGGCAGGCGGAAUCGCCUGUUUAUCAAAAACAUAACCUUUAGCAAAACAAAUAUUAAAGGCGACGCCUGCCCAGUGAACAAUUAAACGGCCGCGGUACCCUAACCGUGCAAAGGUAGCAUAAUCAUUUGUCUACUAAUUAUAGACCUGUAUGAAAGGCAAAAUGAGGGCCUAGCUGUCUCUUAUAAUAAAUCAAUUAAACUGAUCUCCUAGUAAAAAAGCUAGAAUUAUCACACAAGACCAGAAGACCCUGUGAAGCUUAAACUAAACCAUUAAACCUAAUAAUGACUACUUUGGGUUGGGGCGACCUUGGAAAAAAAAAGAACUUCCAAAAAUUAUGGCUAUACACCACUAAAACCAAGACCGACGGGCCAACAAACUAGACCCAGCAAAGCUGACAAAUGAACCAAGUUACUCCAGGGAUAACAGCGCAAUCUUCUUCAAGAGCCCAUAUCAAAAAGAAGGUUUACGACCUCGAUGUUGGAUCAGGACAUCCUAAUGGUGCAGCCGCUAUUAAAGGUUCGUUUGUUCAACGAUUAACAGUCCUACGUGAUCUGAGUUCAGACCGGA